This 693-nucleotide long non-coding RNA is filed under the name Carica papaya (papaya). RNAcentral describes it as "long non-coding RNA (CPAP_LNC005563)". The record is from RNAcentral. Lineage: Eukaryota; Viridiplantae; Streptophyta; Magnoliopsida; Brassicales; Caricaceae.
UCUUUAAGUUUUGGGAUUUUAUAGUUGGUAUCAAAGCCGCAUUCCUAGGAACUAUUCCUUCCACAAAGACUUAAAAACACCAAAUUCAAAUUAUCACUCAACCUUUCCUUGUGAAAUAUAGGUACAAGAAAAUGAAGAGAUGAAGACUUCUACUAAAUUGAGCAGCUCGAGAUGACUCAUUUUGAGAGGAUGUUGACCGACUCUUUGAGAUACUAGAAGGACUCAUCUCCGGGCAGCACGCCUGGGAGGAAAGGAGGGAGUUGCCUGACCCUCCCCCACUACCACAAUUUGAGCAACCCUUGUAGCAAGAAGAUCUGGAGCCACCCUGGUACAACACUGUUCAUCCACCGUACCAUCCAGCACCACCAUAGUACAAUUCAGUGCCUCCACUGCAUCAUCCGGUACCACUAUAGUACAACCUAGUGCCUCCACCGUAUCAUCCAGCACCACCACAGGGCCACUCGGUCCCUCCCCAGCACAAUCCAGUUCCUCUUUUACGAGAGCCAAUUCUACCCAUGAUGGACCCAGACUACAUUGAAAGAUACAAAAGACUAAACCCAUCUAUCUUUGUAGGUGCAUACUCUUUUGAAGAGGUUGGGUAUCGGUUAGCUGAGACAGAGAAUGUCUUCGCGACUCUUGGGGUGGUUCCCGAACAAAAGGUUGUACUUACCACCUACAUGCUUGUGGGAGAGG